RNAcentral lists this long non-coding RNA (321 nucleotides) under Brassica napus (rape). RNAcentral describes it as "long non-coding RNA (BNAP_LNC005806)". The record is from RNAcentral. Lineage: Eukaryota; Viridiplantae; Streptophyta; Magnoliopsida; Brassicales; Brassicaceae.
CAACAUUGUUGCAUAGCUACUAAUAUAUUCCGCUUCCAACGGUGAUGAGACUCUAUUUCAUUUCGCAUGCCCUGCUCCUCUAUAUUCACCAUAUUCACCACGUAUCACCCAUCCCAUCUUACAUUGGGUUAUAGUUGAAGUAACAUAAAUUGUAAAAAUUAUGAAGCAAUUGUAAGACAUACUAAAUAAUAUAAAUUGUCAUAAAAAUUGAAAUCAUAUUUAGUUUUAUAUUGAAAAUACUAUCUUAAAUCGAAACAAAAUUUGUUGGCUAAACAUCACUUGUAUGACUUUUUCUAAACAAGAAUAUUUGUUUUCGAAAAC